GCAGUGUAGCUCAGUUGGUAGAGGGUUUGCCUAGCAAGCAAGAGGCCUUGAGUUUGAUUCCCCUGCACUGCA
Molecule: non-coding RNA, 72 nt
Organism: Mesocricetus auratus (golden hamster)
Lineage: Eukaryota; Metazoa; Chordata; Mammalia; Rodentia; Cricetidae
Source: Rfam